RNAcentral lists this ribosomal RNA (253 nucleotides) under uncultured bacterium. RNAcentral's name for it is "partial 16S ribosomal RNA". It matches the Rfam family "Bacterial small subunit ribosomal RNA", at positions 524 to 776 of the family's 1533-position model. The record is from RNAcentral.
UACGGAGGAUGCAAGCGUUAUCCGGAAUGAUUGGGCGUAAAGCGUCCGCAGGUGGCUGUGUAAGUCUGCUGUCAAAGAGCGAAGCUCAACUUCGUAAAGGCAGUGGAAACUACACGGCUAGAGUGCGUUCGGGGCAGAGGGAAUUCCUGGUGUAGCGGUGAAAUGCGUAGAGAUCCGGAAGAACACCGGUGGCGAAGGCGGCCUGCUGGGCAGUAGCUGACGCUGAGGCGCGACAGCGUGGGGAGCGAACCGG